UUUCACUAUUGAUACUCUUAGAGGUCUGUAGACAUGUGUGUGGGUUGUAUAUAGAGAAUGAUCAGCUGUGUCUAUAUAGUUGUUGUGGAUGCUUCUGUUUGUUGUAGCAGCCUUGCCAGCUUGCAUAUGUUAUCGAUACAUAGUGGCAGCCUUGUCGGCUUGCGUAGUAUAUUGACAUGUAGUGGCAGCCUUGUCGGCUUGCGUAUUAUGAUGAUAUAUAGUGGCAACCUCGUCGGCUUGCGUAUUUAUUACGUUAUGAUUGAUUGGGAACCUUUGGGUCUAUGUCGAUUCCCAUGUUGUCUAUAGUGUCAGUCUGAUUAUGUCUAACAGGUACAUACAGUUGUCCAGCUCGGGCACUAGUCAUGGCCCACGGGGCUAGGUCGUGACAGUUUUCAACUCAACAAAUAAGGGGGUUAUACUCGCUUAAAGUGAGGCCUUGUGAAAACUCACUUGAAAAUAUGCUCCGUAGAGUAGUUUCCAAGUUUACUUUGUCCUACGACUCUCCUUAUGCCUUGAUUAGAUUUCAAAACCCUUUCUAUACUCACCACUUGAUUCCAUUGUGCCCCCAUCUUAUGAGUCGCACCUUAGCCUGAAAGUACAGGGUGUUACAUGAUUGUACUGGGUAUAUCAUUCACAUGCUUCCUUGGGGACAAAUAGAUUAGAUCACUAUCACCGAUGACGACUAUGAUCAGGGGAUGGUACAAGAGGUUUGUGGUUACGCUGAUCGGACAGAUUUGCCAUCGGUGACAAUUCCCAUAUCCCGAUCCAUAAGGACGCAACCCCUUCACAGUUACAUUCGUUGGCAGUUUCUAUAUUCCCCACUAGGUAGGAGCAAUCUUGUGCGCUUCUACUAAAAGGACUUCAAAGUCCAUAACUGUCACCACCUGAUAGAAGGCUAAGAACCACGGUGAUCUUCUGAUCUUUCUGAAUUUUCACAACUUAUUUCUUUUUGUAGUCCAUUGAUGAUAUAUAGUUCCUCGGGUAUUUUCAUGAGAAAGGCGAAGGUCAAACAUUCUACUUAGUUUCAUGCCGCCGCCCAAAUCAUCCGAAACUUGGCGACCAUAGUCUUAGCUAAACUUGAGAGAGGGAGUUCUCAGUAAAAAAAUUCUUCCCUCUCUGGCUCCACCAAAAUAAAGAGAGAUUUGAAGACAGAAGGGUCCGAGGAGAAGGGGAUCAAUUCCCGGUUACUUCAUCGUUGUUGAGUAGGUGAGCUCUAAAAGAAUUCAACACAUAAGGUGGUAGUUGGGAAGAUGACGAAGUAGAGAAAAAAAGGAGAAGAGUGAGAAGGAAAAUAAGAAAAAAGAAGAAGAAGAAGCAGCCUGACCGGCAGGGGAGCUUUAAUCAAACCGUAGGUAGUCCGCAAGACUUUGGUCGUUUCCACGGAGCAUGGCGAUGAUGGGGUCCGGUUCUUGAUGAGGAGUCUUGUAGUUUCUAUUCUCGGACUCGGCUUUGGGUAUCGGAUUCGGGUAUGGAUCUAGAUGUCGGAUUGAGCAUGAUCUAAAUUUUAGGAUUCGUGGUACAAAUCCAGGUAUGGAUACACAGGUACGGAAAUUUGGCUAGAAAUAAUUCAAAAUUCUAAGAGUAUAGCUACAAAAAUAUGCCUAGAUUAUGAGAGAUAUUCUGUGGAAGUACUUACAUGUAGUUUGUAGAGGGCAUGUGAUUCAAUCUUCUCUUCCGACAAUUAGGGUGCUAGACUGCGUUCUCCGAGAUAGACAAUAUUUCAUUAAGUCUCCUACAAUUUACACAACAAAGUAGCAAACUAAAUAUAAAAAAACAUAUUAAAGUAUAACAAAGAUAAUUACUAAUAUAAUUUGACAUAAAGCAUAAGAACACUUAUCUUUUAUUCAAGAGUUGCACAACUCUUGAUCUUACUCCACAUCUUUGCCUCAUCAGUAAUCAAGAUACAAAAUAUAACUUUAUAAAGUAAAUGAGAGUAAAAUAAGCCAACUUAAACAAAGUAAAAUUUGAAAUUGUAUAAGUCUAAGACAUCAAUAAAAAGACAUGUUCAAAAAGACUUAUACAUAGAAUCAAGUCACGUUCAAAAAGACUUAUACACACUUCACGUCAUUUUCAAAAAGAGAUAAACAAAUAGUCCAGUUAUAUUCAAAUUAACUUUCUUCUUCAAUAUCUACAACUUCCUCCAAAUCUUCAAAUUCUUCUCCAAAGACCACCGCUUCUAAUUGAGGUUCAUCUGUCGAUAGCUCAAGUAAACCAUUGGAAGUCUCAUCAAUAUCAAAAUAAUCCCCACCGAGAAGAACAUGAAAAUGAAUAGAAAUGUUAGAACUUUUCAAAGGGACAAAGUUUAUCAUACAAUAAAUUAUUUAAGAAAUUGUACACAUACCCAAAUUCCAAUACUUGCUCAGACCACUUAUAUAUUUUUCUUUCUUGUGAGAGAGAAAUUAAAUGUAUAUUAUAAUGUACAAAUAUAAAAUUUUGCUCUUGAAGUUGCUAAUUUAUUUCUCUUAAUAUUGUGAAUCAUAGAAUAAGUGCUUCAAUUUAUUUCACAACAAAAGGAAGAAGCCGGUAGUGAAAGCAAUUUGAAAGCCAAAUUUUAAAAAGUGCAGCUGAAAUGCCAUGAUUCGCCAAACAAGAAAGAGGUUUCUCAUACAUCGUAGCCUGAAUACACGAGGCUCACCAAAAUAAUUACUAUCACUAGAAAAUGCUUCAUAUUCCAAAGAAACUUGUUCAUUUCAUUUGAUUUAAAAUAUCUUUAAGCAUUUUACAAUAUUCAAAGAAAUCUCACUAUCUUCGUUCGGCGCUUGCCUCCGAAUUCCAUUUUCACCUUUGAGCCAUGUUUCAUGAUAGUACUUUGAAAUCAAAGAAUGUGUCAUACAAUGCAUUGAGGUAUUACUUUUGUUCCACCUAGCCAUAAGAACUUAUUGGAUUGUAUCAAAGAUUCCGAUUGACCAGUGAGGAGAUCCUCUCCUCAUGCUCAAAAAUAAUUUUCUUCACUUUCUCGAUCAUUGAGACCCAUAUGACAUAAAUAAGGUGCAACUUUCGACAAUCAAGAUCGGCAAAUUCUAAGCAUGGAUACAAUUAAUAUUCAUAAAUCUUAAAAAGAAGUCAAUUUUGUCCCAUCAUUUAUCAUUCAUAAGAGAUUUAAUUUCACGUGUUUUUCCUUCAAUUCCCUUAUCUCCCUUAUAGUGCUUUCAUUCGUCGUCCAUCACCAUAUUCUCUAAAAAAAAAAAGACUUCACUUGUGAACAUGAGUAGCCGUGAUAAUAUGUGAAACAAACGUUCUUUCGGCAACUCUCAACAAACAAAGUCCGAAUUUUUGUGAAAAAUAGAAUGGGAGAUGUCAUGAUUCACCACGAAAUUCUUCAAAUUGCUCAAUUGACUAAUCAACUCUACUAUCCAUUUGUAAUUUAUAUAGUGAGCUGAUUUUUCCGGAGGUUGACACAUGAUUUUCAUUGCUAGAUUUAAACAGUGAACUACACACAGUUCAAAAAGAUGAAUGAAAAGAUUGCUUUACGAUACUACUGACAAGUUAAUUUCAUAUUACUAGCAAUAUCAAUUAUAACUUGAACAACAUUCUCUAAACCAACUUCUUCUAUUACUUUAAGAAAUAGAUUAGCAACAUAUUCACUAUCCUUCACAAUUCCACUUGAAUCAAUGGAAUUCAAAAACGUUGGUCCCCCGUUAGAUGCCGCCAUUAUAUUUAUCAAUGGUCGUCGCUUAACAUCCAACCAUCCAUCGGAAAACGUUGAUAAUUCUUUCUUUUCCCCAUGAAUCUUUAAUUGGAUGCAAUUUUCUACUAAUGUGAGUCUUUUCUUAAGCUAAAAAGCUUGUUCUAAGCCUAUUAUACGUUGGAGAAAUAUAACCAGGUAAAACAUUCUCUGCUAAAAAUUGCGAAUACUUUUUGAAAUAUGGAGACUUUUCAAGAUUAAAGGAUAAACUUGAUGCGUCGAACAUACAAGCUGUCAAUUUGUCUGCAGUAUUUCUUUGAUGAAUCUUGAAAGAUUUUUCAAUAGCUCCACCUUCUGCACUUUUUCUUUUGUUGUACUAAAUCAGAACCUUCUGCAAGUGAAAGGUAAUCUGGCUUUUUAUUUUCUAGCAUCUACUUGGAUGGAUGAUUUUUUAUCUUCAGUUUGGUCAUGCUCUAAUUUCAAAGCCGCACAGAUAUCACUGCUGAUUUUUCUGCAAGCUUCAAUCCCAUGAUUUAGAAGCUAUAAGAGAUGUUCUUUGGAUUUAUGAUAUGACCCAGUAAUCCUUUUGUUGCAAUAGUUGCAUAAUCAAAUCCUAUUCCCACCACCCUCAAUAGCAAGUUGGAUAAAUUUAACAUGAUUUCAUAGGGGUGUAUCAUCAAAAUCUGCAGCCCUUUUUGUUUGUUUUGGAAGCCUUUUGCUUUUUCUUUUUCAGCCACAGAUGAAGGAAUUUUGAAAUGGAUGCAAAUAUUCUUAUGAACCAGUGAAGAGUUUUGCUAUCAGCAAAAAAGACUGGCAGAGAAGAAGGGAAUCUAAGUCUUUGGAGGGAAACAAUAUUUUGGGUUAUCUAGACAAUGUAAUGAGUAUUAUAGCGUUAUGAGCUACCUAAGAUGUUUGUUAGCUAUUUGGACAAAUUGACGGUGCAUUUAUACCUUUUGGAACUGACCAUUGAAUGAGAUUAGAUGUGUGCUACAUUAUUUCAUU
Lycium barbarum (goji berry) is the source of this 4627-nucleotide long non-coding RNA. RefSeq lists it as uncharacterized. The record is from RefSeq and is a predicted model, not a curated record. NCBI's taxonomy places the organism in Eukaryota, Viridiplantae, Streptophyta, Magnoliopsida, Solanales, Solanaceae. The transcript has 2 exons.